UCAUUCACGCACAGAAAGAGCUUCAGAAGAACCACAAGAAUCAUGGGGAAACAGGCUUUCACUGUAUUUGAUGGUACAAUUGCCUUUCACACUGCAUGGAGCUGAAGCACUAGCUUUCCUAAUAGAGAUAAAGCUUGAGCAUCUCAAAGAGAAAGGUGGCAACUAUAAACCAAAAACCACCAGGUCAAGCAACCAGUGGGAAAGAAGGACAUAUAGAAGAUGUCGUAGGAGUAAAGAAAUACAGCCUUGUGAAUCAAUAAGUCCCUUGGUAGAAAGCCAGGCUGACCUCCAGCAAAAGGAGCCAGACAAGGUUCCAGCUGACUGAAGAAACUUCACAGAGAGGAAAAAGGCCAUUCUUGAUCUUUCUUAUGAAAGGUACUUAGGAGCAUUGUGGAGGUCACUGUGACUCAGUGCCUCGCGCUGCCUCAAGCACUAUCCCUCUCAACAGCCCCCAGAGCAAGAAACAAUUUGCUGCAGAAUCUCUUUUUGACUAGUUUUGCUUUAAGGCAGGCAAGAGAUUAUUCCUAGAGCAUGGGUUUGACCAGACGGUCAAGUACAGGAUAGUAUUCUGCUAGAGGCACAGCCUGAGCUCUUUUAGCAACUCUCUGAGAGACUGAAUACAGCCUUCCAAAAGGAGCAGGAAAGGUCAGAGCCUCCUCUUCCUUCCCCAGGAGCAAAAAAGCCAGAGCAUUUAUCCAGGAGAUGGUGAAUCAGGUCCAGUUUCAUCUUCUCCUGAUGCCAACUCAGUUACACAUUCCUUCCAUGCCUAUAUUACAACAGAGCAAAAUGUAGGCACCUAUUAUGGCCUUAAUUCAAGACAGCUCUUUCCACUUAAUCUCACCAUAAGCACAGAUUCAAAUCCUAGUUAUGGUAAUGCUUCAGUCAUACCCAUAUCCUAGGCAUGAAAGGACUUUACUGCAUCUUAGAGCACUGCUGUCUUCAAGAGCAGUUUGGUUUUGGACUGUGUACACACUCAGGAGUACCUGUUUAUUAUCUCCACAAUAAUCCAUCUGUGAAUUGUUCACACUUUCUGAAACUUAGAGGGACAUUUUUUUACCUGCUGUGGUUUAGAUGCAAUACAGUUUGGUGGCAAUCUAUAAGUUAGCUCACAGAAGGUGAUUUGCUCACAUUUUGCUAUGCAACCUACUCUAGAAGACUUGCUUUAGCGAGGGGUGGGGGUGAGGUUGUUUUAGAUGAUCUCCAAAGGUCCCUUCUAACCCUUAUGAUUCUGGGAUUUUCUCUAAUAGAAAUCAGCCAACCUUUCCACAUGUUGCCUGCCUUUUUCUAUACGUGGAAACUGAAAAACACCACAUCUGCUUUGCUCUGAGUAUAAUUGCUACAAAUUGAAAAUAACAGCAUUUCCUUUCUACAUUGUUUCAGCCUCAAUAGCUGCACAGACACCCAAGAUUGAAAUCAAGAGUUGUAGAUGAGAAAUUUAGAUAUAAUUGAGUGUGAAGCAUCUCAUUUCAGAUGAAUUGUUUGUCUUUAAUAUGUACAAGUGUACGGGUAAAAGAUGUUUUGAAUUGCAAAAUCCAAUCAAUGAAAGUGUAAAAGAAAUUAGUUACAUUUUGCAAAACACGGAAAAAAAUGCUUUUCAAUUGAAGUAAAAAGAACAUUUCUUUUCUCAUGAAAUAGGAGUCAUUUUAGUAACUAUUCUAUGGUAUAGAAAUCACAUUCAGCCUAAAAGUACAGGCAUUAAAGAAGCUGCUCGUUCUUACCUAUGCUGAAUAGCUAAUUAGAGCAGCCAUUUAUCAUUCAAAAAGUCUUAGACAAGUUAAAAGAGAAGAAAACAAAAGAGAUGACAAAUACAUUUGGUAGCUGGACAACUGAAUAAGCUCUGUCCUUGGCUGAAUUUAGUGAGUCUCAAACUUUCGAUCAACAGAAAUGAAAUGAAAACACCCUUUAGGGGAAAUUCUGCAUUGUAGGAAAGGUGGUGCAAGCAACCUCUUGGGAAACAGCCUCUGUCCCAAGCCAUAGUCAUAUGAUUGAGUUUUACAUCUACUAUGUUAGAACUAGCAUGAAUCUGUGGUAAACUGAAGAAAUUAAACUCUUUCACUUAGGGCUCGUUUCUUCUUGGAUAACUAUUCUUUUAAACAAAUAGCUCUGUGACUCGUAGUUUGUAAAGGUGGGAUUUUACAGAACUGCCUUAAUCUGGAUAUUCCUUUCCAAUAUUUUAUUAAAGACCCAUAGAGUUACUAAUCCUAGAGUAUCAUAACAAACACAGAAGAAAACAUUUAUUAUCUUGAACCAUAGUUUCCUCCACCUCACUUUCUGUGUUAUUCUGUGUAAGAAAUAUCAUCCAGAGUAUCUUUUGGGACAGCUUGUUGUGCAAGUUUCUACAGGUCUGAUAUGUAGUGAAAUCACAGUCAGCUCAUAAAUACCCAUCUUUGAGGUGCCCUAAACCCCCAUCUCUCUGUACAGCUCUCUGUGUAGAUGAAAGGGAAACAGGAGGGAAGUGGCUAAUAUGUGAAGCACUGGGGGGGAGGGGGGGGGGGAUCAGAGUUCAGGAGCAAGUAAAUAAAAUGGAAAUGAGUCAAAGAGCUAAGAAAGGAAAGAAAAAGAAAAGUUCUGGUAGGUCAACAAAGGCAGCAACCCAUUUCAUUUCAGAUGCAAGCCAAGAUCAGGCUGUCCUAUUCCUCAUUUCUAAGAAACUGUUCUGGUGUGUGUAGACACCAAUGGAGAGCACUGAUCAAAUCUUUAGAAUGUGCACUGUGUUAAAUCGUACUCUCUAAUGGCAUCCAUUGUAAAAAUACAUGCAUCUAAGCAUGUAAUUCUACAUCCAACUAUGUCUUAACAGGAAAAGGUAGUAACAAGGAUUUUGAUAACUCAAAUCAGUAAUACACACAACUGGAACUUGUUAAAGCUACAAAACCCACUGCAUUGGAACUGGAGACAAGAUAAGAAGUUACAUGUUUCUCUAAUGCCAUACAAAAUGAUAGACUUAAAUCAGCCAUUUGUAUGGUAUCAUAAUAUUGUGCUAGGAACUGUACAUAAUAUUGUACUAAGAACUUUGAAGUCCUUUCUAUAGAAAAAGAUUGAUUUAUCUGGUGUUCAAGUAUCAAAUCAAUAUAGCAGCAAGUAUAAAGCUAACAAUACAUUUUGUAAAUCUACUGCAUGAUAACGGUUUUUGAAACAUGUUUACCAUAUUUGGCUCUGAUGUGAGAAUCAGACCACAACAGUUGGUUUUGUGAAUACAAAAUCUUACAUGGUCUACCAGGUUUUAUGUAGCAUUGCUCAAAACUGACCUGAUAACUUGUUAGACUCAUCUUUAGGGGAAAAUCUUCAUAUACCUUCUGCCCACAAUUUGACACCAUUUAGCAGUUUCUGUUUAUUGAAGCUGAAUUAAUUCACACAGUAGGUAACUUACAGCACUUGUUACUCGAACAGAAUAUGUGUUUGCAUGACUACUGUUGAGGUCAGUGAAGGGACACUAGCAGUGACUAUAAAAUAUUAGUCUGCACAGAAAGGUUUCUAGUUCAGCUGCUUUAGCCCCUUGAGCGUAAGAACCUGAAUCGCUUGGAAAUAAAAAUGAGAACCUGAAAUAUAAGAAUCAAGGUAAGGCACUCUCAGAUUUUCAGAAAUGAUGACACAGUUGCUUCUGAUAAAGUAUAGAAUUAUUUUAGGCUAGAUUAUUCACUAUAGAUGUCAUAUUAAUUUUUGGAUGCAUGAUUACCCAUGGCUAACAUGUGUUAGUCAUCUUUUGUUCAAGUGCAUGUUUCUAAACUAUGAAAUUCUCAUCACCUGCAAGUGGUUUUUACUUGCUUUUUACUUCUCCAUUUAGCAUAGAUUCUAAAGCUGCUCCUUCCUGAUAAAUAAAGUGGUGAUCCACUAAGCAUUUCAUCCUGUUUUUCAGUGUGUUUCUGACAGCACUGGACAGACUCCACAUGUCCAUUUCAUGGCUGUUCAGCGCAAAUCUGAAUGACAAUCAUUAUUAUGUUAGUGAAUUAUAAAUUCAAGAUCUAUCUGAGCAUGAGAAAAUCCCUCCUUGUUGAUACAUUUAUUCCUAUCCUCUCCUUUAAUAUAAGCCUGAAUCGCAGUAUCCAUGGAAAGAAUAUCCUUCAUCAAGUAUACAAUAACUUUUUGUAACAAUAGGAUGUGGCAGGAUACAAU
Coturnix japonica (Japanese quail) is the source of this 4110-nucleotide non-coding RNA. The record is from RefSeq and is a predicted model, not a curated record. NCBI's taxonomy places the organism in Eukaryota, Metazoa, Chordata, Aves, Galliformes, Phasianidae.